Molecule: ribosomal RNA, 465 nt
Filed under: Vreelandella stevensii
Lineage: Bacteria; Pseudomonadati; Pseudomonadota; Gammaproteobacteria; Oceanospirillales; Halomonadaceae
Description: partial 16S ribosomal RNA
Rfam family: Bacterial small subunit ribosomal RNA
Source: RNAcentral
CCUACGGGAGGCUGCAGUGGGGAAUAUUGGACAAUGUGGGGAACCCUGAUCCAGCCAUGCCGCGUGUGUGAAGAAGGCCCUCGGGGUGUAAAGCACUUUCAGUGAGGAAGAACGCCUGGUGGUUAAUACCCAUCAGGAAAGACAUCACUCACAGAAGAAGCACCGGCUAACUCCGUGCCAGCAGCCGCGGUAAUACGGAGGGUGCGAGCGUUAAUCGGAAUUACUGGGCGUAAAGCGCGCGUAGGUGGCUUGAUAAGCCGGUUGUGAAAGCCCCGGGCUCAACCUGGGAACGGCAUCCGGAACUGUCAAGCUAGAGUGCAGGAGAGGAAGGUAGAAUUCCCGGUGUAGCGGUGAAAUGCGUAGAGAUCGGGAGGAAUACCAGUGGCGAAGGCGGCCUUCUGGACUGACACUGACACUGAGGUGCGAAAGCGUGGGUAGCAAACAGGAUUAGAUACCCGAGUAGUC